UACGGAGGGAGCUAGCGUUGUUCGGAAUUACUGGGCGUAAAGCGCACGUAGGCGGCUUUUUAAGUCUGGGGUGAAAUCCCGGGGCUCAACCCCGGAACUGCCCUUGAAACUGGAGAGCUAGAAUCUUGGAGAGGCGAGUGGAAUUCCGAGUGUAGAGGUGAAAUUCGUAGAUAUUCGGAAGAACACCAGUGGCGAAGGCGACUCGCUGGACAAGUAUUGACGCUGAGGUGCGAAAGCGUGGGGAGCAAACAGG
Molecule: ribosomal RNA, 253 nt
Filed under: uncultured bacterium
Lineage: Bacteria
Description: partial 16S ribosomal RNA
Rfam family: Bacterial small subunit ribosomal RNA
Source: RNAcentral